This 73-nucleotide transfer RNA is filed under the name Loxodonta africana (African savanna elephant). It matches the Rfam family "tRNA". From Rfam's summary of the family: Transfer RNA (tRNA) molecules are approximately 80 nucleotides in length. Their secondary structure includes four short double-helical elements and three loops (D, anti-codon, and T loops). Further hydrogen bonds mediate the characteristic L-shaped molecular structure. tRNAs have two regions of fundamental functional importance: the anti-codon, which is responsible for specific mRNA codon recognition, and the 3' end, to which the tRNAs corresponding amino acid is attached (by aminoacyl-tRNA synthetases). tRNAs cope with the degeneracy of the genetic code in two manners: having more than one tRNA (with a specific anti-codon) for a particular amino acid; and 'wobble' base-pairing, i.e. permitting non-standard base-pairing at the 3rd anti-codon position. The record is from Rfam by way of RNAcentral. Lineage: Eukaryota; Metazoa; Chordata; Mammalia; Proboscidea; Elephantidae.
GACUGUGUGGUCUAUUGGAUAGGGCACCUGAUUUCAGAUCAGAAGACUAACGGUUGGAAUCCGUUUGUGGUUC